RNAcentral lists this ribosomal RNA (253 nucleotides) under uncultured bacterium. Its description in RNAcentral is "partial 16S ribosomal RNA". It matches the Rfam family "Bacterial small subunit ribosomal RNA", at positions 524 to 776 of the family's 1533-position model. The record is from RNAcentral.
UACGGGGGGGGCAAGCGUUGUUCGGAAUUACUGGGCGUAAAGGGCGCGUAGGCGGCCCGCUAAGUCGAACGUGAAAUCCCCGAGCUCAACUCGGGAACUGCGUCCGAUACUGGUGGGCUUGAAUCCGGGAGAGGGAUGCGGAAUUCCAGGUGUAGCGGUGAAAUGCGUAGAUAUCUGGAGGAACACCGGUGGCGAAGGCGGCAUCCUGGACCAACACUGACGCUGAGGAGCGAAAGCCAGGGGAGCAAACGGG